Molecule: ribosomal RNA, 907 nt
Filed under: uncultured bacterium
Lineage: Bacteria
Description: bacterial SSU rRNA
Rfam family: Bacterial small subunit ribosomal RNA
Source: RNAcentral
AACGAACGCUGGCGGCGUGCCUAAUACAUGCAAGUCGAGCGCGAAAGGGGCUUCGGCCCUGAGUAAAGCGGCGCACGGGUGAGUAACACGUGGAUAAUCUACCCUUAGAUUUGGGAUAACGUCUGGAAACGGGCGCUAAUACCGGAUACGCUCCAAAUAAGUCUUUUUUGGGGGAAAGGCGGCCUCUAUUUAUAAGCUGUCGUCUAAGGAUGAGUCCGCGCCUCAUUAGGUAGUUGGCGGGGUAAUGGCCCACCAAGCCUGUGAUGAGUAGCCGGCCUGAGAGGGUGAUCGGCCACACUGGAACUGGAACACGGUCCAGACUCCUACGGGAGGCAGCAGUAGGGAAUAUUGCGCAAUGAACGAAAGUUUGACGCAGCGACGCCGCGUGAGGGAUGAAGGUCUUCGGAUCGUAAACCUCUGUCAAGAGGGAGGAAGUGCAUAUGCUCUAAUAUAGCGUAUGUUUGACGGUACCUCUGAAGGAAGCACCGGCUAACUCCGUGCCAGCAGCCGCGGUAAUACGGAGGGUGCGAGCGUUAAUCGGAAUUACUGGGCGUAAAGCGCGCGUAGGCGGAAUUUUAAGUCAGGAGUGAAAUCCCCGGGCUCAACCUGGGAAUAGCUUUUGAUACUGAGAUUCUAGAGUUCAGGAGAGGGUGGCGGAAUUCCAGGUGUAGGAGUGAAAUCCGUAGAGAUCUGGAGGAACAUCAGUGGCGAAGGCGGCCACCUGGACUGACACUGACGCUGAGGUGCGAAAGCGUGGGUAGCAAACAGGAUUAGAUACCCUGGUAGUCCACGCCGUAAACGAUGGGUGCUAGGUGUUGGGGAUUUAAUCUUCGGCGCCGCAGCUAACGCGAUAAGCACCCCGCCUGGGGAGUACGGUCGCAAGGCUGAAACUCAAAUGAAUUGACGG